UAGGGAAUCUUGGACAAUGGGCGAAAGCCUGAUCCAGCCAUGCCGCGUGAGUGAUGAAGGCCUUAGGGUUGUAAAGCUCUUUCGCCAGGGAAGAUAAUGACGGUACCUGGAUAAGAAGCCCCGGCAAACUUCGUGCCAGCAGCCGCGGUAAUACGAAGGGGGCUAGCGUUGUUCGGAAUUACUGGGCGUAAAGCGAACGUAGGCGGUUUUCCAAGUUGGAGGUGAAAUCCCUGGGCUCAACCCGGGAACUGCCUCCAAAACUGGAUGACUCGAGUCCGGGAGAGGUGAGUGGAAUUUCCAGUGUAGAGGUGAAAUUCGUAGAUAUUGGAAAGAACACCAGUGGCGAAGGCGGCUCACUGGCUCGGUACUGACGCUGAGGUGCGACAGCGUGGGGAGCAAACA
This 402-nucleotide ribosomal RNA is filed under the name uncultured bacterium. Its description in RNAcentral is "bacterial SSU rRNA". It matches the Rfam family "Bacterial small subunit ribosomal RNA", at positions 355 to 774 of the family's 1533-position model. The record is from RNAcentral.